GACGAACGCUGGCGGCGUGCUUAACACAUGCAAGUCGAACGGUAAGGCCCUUCGGGGUACACGAGUGGCGAACGGGUGAGUAACACGUGGGUGAUCUGCCCUGCACUUCGGGAUAAGCCUGGGAAACUGGGUCUAAUACCGGAUAGGACUCCGGACUGCAUGGUCUGGGGUGGAAAGCUUUUGCGGUGUGGGAUGGGCCCGCGGCCUAUCAGCUUGUUGGUGGGGUGAUGGCCUACCAAGGCGACGACGGGUAGCCGGCCUGAGAGGGUGACCGGCCACACUGGGACUGAGAUACGGCCCAGACUCCUACGGGAGGCAGCAGGGGGGAAUAUUGCACAAUGGGCGCAGGCCUGAUGCAGCGACGCCGCGUGAGGGAUGACGGCCUUCGGGUUGUAAACCUCUUUCAGCAUCGACGAAGCGAAAGUGACGGUAGGUGCAGAAGAAGGACCGGCCAACUACGUGCCAGCAGCCGCCGUAA
This 478-nucleotide ribosomal RNA is filed under the name uncultured bacterium. RNAcentral's name for it is "partial 16S ribosomal RNA". It matches the Rfam family "Bacterial small subunit ribosomal RNA", at positions 28 to 523 of the family's 1533-position model. The record is from RNAcentral.